Molecule: ribosomal RNA, 478 nt
Filed under: uncultured organism
Description: partial 16S ribosomal RNA
Rfam family: Bacterial small subunit ribosomal RNA
Source: RNAcentral
UACACUCCUGCGGGAGGCAGCAGUGGGGAAUAUUGCACAAUGGGCGCAAGCCUGAUGCAGCCAUGCCGCGUGUAUGAAGAAGGCCUUCGGGUUGUAAAGUACUUUCAGCGGGGAGGAAGGCGAUAAGGUUAAUAACCUUGUUGAUUGACGUUACCCGCAGAAGAAGCACCGGCUAACUCCGUGCCAGCAGCCGCGGUAAUACGGAGGGUGCAAGCGUUAAUCGGAAUUACUGGGCGUAAAGCGCACGCAGGCGGUCUGUCAAGUCGGAUGUGAAAUCCCCGGGCUCAACCUGGGAACUGCAUCCGAAACUGGCAGGCUAGAGUCUUGUAGAGGGGGGUAGAAUUCCAGGUGUAGCGGUGAAAUGCGUAGAGAUCUGGAGGAAUACCGGUGGCGAAGGCGGCCCCCUGGACAAAGACUGACGCUCAGGUGCGAAAGCGUGGGGAGCAAACAGGAUUAGAUACCCCGGUAGUCCCAUGAU